Molecule: long non-coding RNA, 479 nt
Filed under: Capra hircus (goat)
Lineage: Eukaryota; Metazoa; Chordata; Mammalia; Artiodactyla; Bovidae
Description: lncRNA (ENSCHIG00000000625.1)
Source: RNAcentral
CCUGAGGGGGAGCCAGUCCACAAAGUAUAUUCUGUUGCCAUUGGAAAAGCUGUGUACUGAGACCUCCAAUGAAUAUGCAAAUGAAAAUCUAUUGAAUGUGAGGGAGACCCACGUGCAGCUGUGCACUGGGGUUCACUGGACCAAACUGUGGUAAGACAGUCUGUGAGGACUUUUGUCAAAAUGGAGGGACCUGCAGUGUUACUGCUGGAAACCAGCCUUAUUGCCACUGCCAGCCUGAACACACGGGAGACAGAUGUCAAUACUAUGUGUGUCAUCACUACUGUGUGAAUUCUGAAUCCUGUACCAUUGGAGAUGAUGGAAGUGUGGAAUGUGUCUGUCCAAUACGCUAUGAAGGAUCAAAAUGUGAAAUUGACAAAUGUAUAAGGUGCCAUGGGGGACAUUGCAUUAUAAAUAAAGACAGUGAAGAUAUAUCUUGCAAGUAAGUAGACAGCUAACUUAAUUUAUAAAAGCAUUUGAAC